UUCCCACGUGCUCUGGGGCGGCUAGCGGAUCGGCCCCGCGCGUCUCGUGACGUCCAAGCGGCCGCUCUAUUGGCCAGGAUCCGCUCAGCCGUGGGAGCUUUAAACUCCAGGCUGACCUACGAACCUGCGGCGAACGUCUUGCGCGCUUCCUGAUCCGUUACCAUGGAAACGGUUUAACCCUUUCCUCUGGCAAAAUACCCAAGCUGUGGCUGGCUCUGCAGGGCCAGAUCCUCUCUGCUUUGGAGCCUUCCCACGAGAUCUUCCUUCAGCACUGAGUGUUCUCUGUCCACCGCUUAGCCUCUGCAUGCCUGAGAAUCCCUCAGCAUUCAGCUGUACUCUCAAGAACUCAAGAACUCUUGUACUAAUUCCCCAGACUAGUGUUGAAAUAAAUUUCUAGGCCCAAGAUGGAGCUGCUCCCGCCCAGGAUGCCACCUCAGCAAACCAAAGCUUAAAUAACUUUUGUGUCUGUGUAAAUGCUCCACUAGACCAAAAACACAGUAUAUCCAGUCAGCCAGUCCCCCCAAACCAAGCCAACUCUAGGCUCUAUGCUUAUUUGUUUCUUCUCACUCCAAACAAAGCUGGGGUGCCUGGGUGGCUCAGUCGGUUGAGCGUCCGACUUCGGCUCAGGUCAUGAUCUCAUGGUUUUGU
Long non-coding RNA from Leopardus geoffroyi (Geoffroy's cat), 648 nucleotides. RefSeq lists it as uncharacterized. NCBI's taxonomy places the organism in Eukaryota, Metazoa, Chordata, Mammalia, Carnivora, Felidae. The transcript is spliced from 3 exons. The record is from RefSeq and is a predicted model, not a curated record.